GAGGUCCAGCCUGCCCAGUGAUAUUUUUCAACGGCCGCGGUACUCUGACCGUGCGAAGGUAGCAUAAUCACUUGUUCUUUAAAUGGGGACUAGUAUCAACGGCAUCACGAGGAUUUUACUGUCUCCUUUUUCCUAUCGGUGAAACUGAUCUCCCCGUGAAGAAGCGGGGAUAAUUUUAUAAGACGAGAAGACCCCAUGGAGCUUUAAACCCAGAGACACCUCAAACCUCCUUUUCCCAUAAAAGUUUCUAUGCACUGUCCUCUGGUUUUAGGUUGGGGUGACCACGGAGUAUAACUUAACCUCCACAACGCACGGAGCUUCUUCCUUAUCUAAGAGCCACAUCUCAAAGAAUUAACAUAUUAACGUAAAAUGAUCCAAUGACUUAUUUUGAUCAAUGAACCAAGUUACCCUGGGGAUAACAGCGCAAUCCAUUUCUAGAGCCCCCAUCGACAAAUGGGUUUACGACCUCGAUGUUGGAUCAGGGUAUCCUAGUGGUGCAGCCGCUACUAA
RNAcentral lists this ribosomal RNA (510 nucleotides) under Minervarya sengupti. Its description in RNAcentral is "partial large subunit ribosomal RNA". It matches the Rfam family "Bacterial large subunit ribosomal RNA", at positions 1849 to 2568 of the family's 2925-position model. The record is from RNAcentral. Lineage: Eukaryota; Metazoa; Chordata; Amphibia; Anura; Dicroglossidae.